This 423-nucleotide ribosomal RNA is filed under the name uncultured bacterium. RNAcentral's name for it is "bacterial SSU rRNA". It matches the Rfam family "Bacterial small subunit ribosomal RNA", at positions 207 to 622 of the family's 1533-position model. The record is from RNAcentral.
AAGACCUUGCACUUUUGGAGCGGCCGAUGUCUGAUUAGCUAGUUGGUGGGGUAAUGGCCUACCAAAGCUUCGAUCAGUAGCUGGUCUGAGAGGACGGCCAGCCACACUGGGACUGAGACACGGCCCAGACUCCUACGGGAGGCAGCAGUGGGGAAUUUUGGACAAUGGGCGCAAGCCUGAUCCAGCCAUGCCGCGUGAGUGAAGAAGGCCUUCGGGUUGUAAAGCUCUUUCAGCCGGAAAGAAAAGGUUGCGACUAAUAAUCGCAAUCCAUGACGGUACCGAAAGAAGAAGCACCGGCUAACUACGUGCCAGCAGCCGCGGUAAUACGUAGGGUGCGAGCGUUAAUCGGAAUUACUGGGCGUAAAGGGUGCGCAGGCGGUUUUGUAAGUCAGAUGUGAAAUCCCCGGGCUUAACCUGGGAACU